GAUGAACGCUGGCGGCGUGCCUAAUACAUGCAAGUCGAGCGAACAGACGAGGAGCUUGCUCCUCUGACGUUAGCGGCGGACGGGUGAGUAACACGUGGAUAACCUACCUAUAAGACUGGGAUAACUUCGGGAAACCGGAGCUAAUACCGGAUAAUAUAUUGAACCGCAUGGUUCAAUAGUGAAAGACGGUUUUGCUGUCACUUAUAGAUGGAUCCGCGCCGCAUUAGCUAGUUGGUAAGGUAACAGCUUACCAAGGCAACGAUGCGUAGCCGACCUGAGAGGGUGAGCGGCCACACGGGAACUGAGACACGGUCCAGACUCCUACGGGAGGCAGCAGUAGGGAAUCUUCCGCAAUGGGCGAAAGCCUGACGGAGCAACGCCGCGUGAGUGAUGAAGGUCUUCGGAUCGUAAAACUCUGUUAUUAGGGAAGAACAAAUGUGUAAGUAACUAUGCACGUCUUGACGGUACCUAAUCAGAAAGCCACGGCUAACUACGUG
RNAcentral lists this ribosomal RNA (497 nucleotides) under uncultured bacterium. RNAcentral describes it as "partial 16S ribosomal RNA". It matches the Rfam family "Bacterial small subunit ribosomal RNA", at positions 28 to 507 of the family's 1533-position model. The record is from RNAcentral.